GCACAGGUGGCCGAGUGGUUAAUGGCAGCAGACUGUAAAUCUGCCACGCUAAGCGUUACGGAGGUUCGAAUCCUCCCCUGUGCA
Molecule: transfer RNA, 84 nt
Filed under: Terriglobus saanensis SP1PR4
Lineage: Bacteria; Pseudomonadati; Acidobacteriota; Terriglobia; Terriglobales; Acidobacteriaceae
Rfam family: tRNA
About the family: Transfer RNA (tRNA) molecules are approximately 80 nucleotides in length.
Source: Rfam by way of RNAcentral